AGCUUAUCUUGCGCAGCUUAGGUGGGAGGCUAUGAACCUUUUCUUCUGGGAAGAGGGGAGCCAUCAGUGAGAUACCACUCUUGGUAAGCUAGAGCGCUCAGUCUUCACCGUCAUCCGGUAAGACGACAGUUUCAGGCGGGCAGUUUGACUGGGGCAGUCACCUCCCAAAAGGUAAUGGAGGUGUGCAAAGGUUCCCUCAGGCUGGACGGAAAUCAGCCAUAGAGUGUAAAAGCAUAAGGGAGCUUGACUGCGAGACUGACAUGUCAAGCAGAGACGAAAGUCGGCUUUAGUGAUCCGACGGUGCUGAGUGGAAAGGCCGUCGCUCAACGGAUAAAAGUUACUCUAGGGAUAAC
RNAcentral lists this ribosomal RNA (353 nucleotides) under uncultured eukaryote. Its description in RNAcentral is "LSU rRNA". It matches the Rfam family "Bacterial large subunit ribosomal RNA", at positions 2126 to 2478 of the family's 2925-position model. The record is from RNAcentral.